RNAcentral lists this ribosomal RNA (397 nucleotides) under Oomycota sp. RNAcentral's name for it is "Oomycetes sp. partial small subunit ribosomal RNA". It matches the Rfam family "Eukaryotic small subunit ribosomal RNA", at positions 582 to 975 of the family's 1831-position model. Lineage: Eukaryota; Oomycota. The record is from RNAcentral.
AUUCCAGCUCCAAUAGCGUAUAUUAAGGUUGUUGCAGUUAAAAAGCUCGUAGUUGGAUUUCUGUUUUGAAUGUCCGGUCGGUCAGUUUCUGAUGUGUACUUUGGAUAUUCGAGGCAUUUUUUGAGAGGGUCCUUGACUGGCAUUAAGUUGUUGGUUUUGGAAGCUUGCAUCGUUUACUGUGAAAAAAUUAGAGUGUUUCAAGCAGGCGUUUGCUUUUGAAUACAUUAGCAUGGAAUAAUAAGAUACGACUAGCGUGGUCUAUUUUGUUGGUUUGCACACGCAAGUAAUGAUUAAUAGGGACAGUUGGGGGUAUUCAUAUUUGAGCGUCAGAGGUGAAAUUCUUGGAUCGCUGAAAGAUGAGCUUAGGCGAAAGCAUUUAUCAUGGAUGUUUUCAUUA